Molecule: long non-coding RNA, 12901 nt
Filed under: Prunus persica (peach)
Lineage: Eukaryota; Viridiplantae; Streptophyta; Magnoliopsida; Rosales; Rosaceae
Description: long non-coding RNA (PPER_LNC008339)
Source: RNAcentral
CUAGUAAUAAGUUUAUGUAUCUACUAAAACUUAAUUACAUGGAGUCAAUCUAAUGGAUCACUAAUGAUUUUUUAAUCAAAACAACCUAGUUAUAUAUAAUUACUGAAAAAAAUAAUCUCAUUUUUCACGGCCCGAGAAGCGAGCAAAGGUCCUUCCAACAAGUUAAACAUGUUCACAAGGUGUCACCAAAGCACAAAACGGUCCAUAAGCAAACGAACUGUGGCCUCUGAAAGCCUAGAGGAAUCCAAGUCCCUCUGAAUCUGAGCCAUUCUGCUGCUCUCUUUUCUUGCUUCUUUCAACACUUGCUGUUGUUCUUCAACCUCAUCAUCACCUUCUCCUUGUUUUCCCUUUGAUGAAAACACCAGUCGCUUCUUAGCCCCUACCUUGUCUUUCAGCUUUGCCAACUCGCUCAUCCAAACCUCCACCACUGCAGACAUGCUUGAACUUGAAAACAUGAAAACUGGCUUGGUCUUGACUCUUUGAGUUUGAUCAAGGAUGAUGAGGAGAGCUGGCUAUUAUGCUUGUUGGGUUAUAUAGAAGAGAGAGAGAGAAAGAGGGCCUUGCCCUUCAUGUGGCUUGGAUUGGAUGAAAAAUCAGUGUGUCACAGAGCCGCUGGUUAUAGGCUAGAAAUAUUCCUCGGGAAGAGAGAGAGAGAGAGUAGAAAGUGGGGUAUGAGUUUUGUUGAGUGAAUGAAAAGCUUCCCCGUGGGCGGGCACACGGAACUCUCUUCUUUAGAUUAAUCUUGUGGGCGACUUGGCAUAUUACUAUUCAUCAAUAGUAUUCCAUUGCAUCUUAGUUUUUCUUUUGUCUUAUGCCAACAUUGUAAAUCUCUUUCUCCGAAAUACCUAUUCACCUCUUUAUCAUCAUCUACAGUAAAAGUAGCCAUCUUCAUUAUCUUCCGAGUCUUGCUCAUCUUCACAUCGAUCAACAAAAUUAUCUUCAUCAAACCUCUCAUUAACAUCUUCCAAGUCAUCGGAUUCAGACUCACCAUCUUCCGUAAAUAUAGACAGGUCUUCAUCAUCCUGUGUCAUUACCAGGUGGACCCCGAAGCUUUUAAAACGCAGCGAAUCUUCUGCCCAAGUCGGAAAAUUAACUCGACACGCAAAAGGCGACUUCGGCCAGGUAAUCUGAUCAUCCCGGUAAAACAUUUCUCUGAACUGAAUAUAGCACAGCCACACAUGACCUGACCCUAUCUUUUUGAAAUAGUAAUUGCACUGAAUAAAAUAAGGUUCCACUCCUGGUUGAUUGAUGGAAAUUUUUGGUACAAAACCAUGGAAACGUCGUCUUUUGUUUUGGGGGUUUUCAACAGCAGCGUAUAGAGCCAAUCCUUGGUUCUGGCAUUUGAAGUUUGGAGGGAUUUGAAUCAAAAAUUUACAUGCGUUAUCACGCUCCUUCACAUCCUUAUGACAGCUGAACAACGUCGAGAAAACUUCAAAACUUGCUGGAAAUACAACCUGAAAUCCAUGUUUCUGUGAAGACAGAAGGUGAUCAAAGAAGAGAGUGAUCUGCUCCUUUGCUAAAAUGUUAUGCUUCUUUGUGAGGUCACGAGCCAGAUUGCCGCACAGUCUCUGGCAAUUACCCAAGUCCACCAACUCAAUCAUUUGUAAGUCUUUUUUACCUUUCAGAAUGUUGGACAACGAUGAAAACCUUUCCAAUGAUACGCAAUCACUCGCCCCUAACUUUACUAUUUUUGGUGGAAGUUCCGGAAUAUCUCGAAGCCUCUUGCAGCCAUGCAAGUAAAGAUCCCGCAAAUUGACAAAUUUCGUAAUGCAUUUGGGAAUACUUACAAGGAAAUCACUUCGUCUUAGAUCAAGUACGUUCAAUGUAGACACACAAUCAAGAGUCCUCAGGAAAUUAAAUUCUGAUAAAUUGUUUCCUUCCAACUUGAAUUCCGCAAGACUGGGAAGCGCUAAAGUAUGUGAUACUGGACUCCCCAAAACUUCAGACUUCACUUUAUUUGGAAAUCUAACAAGCUUUCGACUUCCUUGGAGACAAAUUUCAUUUAGAUGUUCCAACUCAUAAAUGCUGGAUGGCAGAUUCGUCAGAUUUUCACAAAUGCUUAUGUCUAAAAAUUCAAGACUGACGAGAUAUGCAAUUGACGCAGGCAAUUCUUUGAUGCCACUACCACAUAGAAACAAGUGACGUAAGGAAUCCAUCUUCCCCCCAAUUUCAGGGAAAGUCUCCAGUCUUCUGCAAUAUACAAGAUAGAGAACUUCUAGAGAUUUUGACUUGAUUAUUGGAAAUAGUGUGAGGUUAUGGCAACUCUGAAGACUCAAUUUCACAAGCUUAUCAUGAAAUCCAACAGAAGGAUGAACCUCAACUAAACUUGUGCAGUCGUCUAGAUUCAAGGACUGUAAGUUUGGAAUUCCAGAGAUAUUUGGGCUUUUUGUUAGGAAUUCACAGCUCUUAAAAUUCAUGGACGUCAAAUUUUGCAAACGCUAUAUAAGACAAAAAUAGAAAAUAAAAAGAAGGAUCAAACGGUAAGGCAUAAACAAGUUCAAGCCAUAACUCCAAAAACAUAAUAAACUUUUGAAAAUACGAAGGGAUGAAAAUAAUUUAAAUUACCUUGAAUCCCUCCCCAAGUUGUGACAAGCGGCUAUAAGGCAUAUAAAGUUCAACAAGUUUCCUUGGAUUGAAAGUAGAUGGUAAAGUUUGUAGAGGACAAUUAGGCCAAUGAAGAAACCUCAACUCAUUAGAUAGAUAAUCCACGUGAUCGCCACUAAAUCGUGCAUUCACAUUGAUGAAAAGUCGAAGGUUUUUCAUCUUUGAGAAGCUGUCACCACUCAAGCAUAUGUCAUCUGGUGUCGGAAACUUUGCUAUGAUGCCUUUAAUAUUAUUUGUUCCCUAUUAUCAAAAAGCAGUAGUGUAAACAUACAAAGCUCUUUAGCAAAUAAAAAUGCAAGUGUACACAUCACACAACAGACUUACUGUUCCUUCUGUUAGAACACGAUAAACAUCCUCGUGAAACCACAAUCUGCUACGUUCACCAGGCUCAUUUGGCGACUGUAGAUAAACUAUUCCUCUACCCAAUUCUUCAAGCAAGUCAUGCAUCCCAAUUAUGCCUCGUUCAAUAUUUAUGAGGGCCUUGUCUACGAGUACUUUAAUAGCAUACUUAGGCUUGAGGUCACAACCUUCCAGGAUCGGUAUCACAUGGUUCACCUUUCUACCGUUAAAGAAACAUGCUAUGUCAAGGAAAACUUCUUGCACUGAAUAUUCCAAUGCAUCAUAGCUUAUUUUGAGAGUUUUUUUAAUGUCCGGGUGCAGAUUCCCAUCCAAUGCAUCAUGCCACUCAUCUAUACUUCUACCACAUAGAUGAGAACCUAAAACCUUGAGAGCUAAAGGAAGACCUUGAGCAUGCUUCAGCACAGUUUCUGCAGCUUUCACAUAAUCAUCAUCCAAAUUUUUAUUUCUCCCACCAUUCCAACUAAUGAAGAGAUCAAGAGAUUCACCAAAGUUUAAUUUCUUGGCCUUAUAUAUAAUACUAACUUGAUGAGAAGUUAGCAAAUGCUUAUCUCUUGUCGUUAUGAUGAUUCUACUGCCCAAACCAAACCAAUCACAACCUCCAACUAAGUUGUUUAAUUGGUCCAAAUGAUCCACAUCAUCUACAAUUACAAGGACCUUUUUACCACUCAACCUUUCCUUUAUCACACUGAUUCCUUUAUCGGCACUGGUAACCUUUAUUUCCUUUCCCCUUAGAAUCUCAUCAAGAAGAAGAUUUUGUAGGUCGACUAGGCCUCCAUAUGGUAUUGAUCUUUCUCUUACUUUUUCCAGAAAACAACUCCCUUCAAACACAUGGGCCAGUGAGUUAUAAACAGCUUUAGCAACAGUUGUCUUUCCUAUUCCAGCAGUCCCCCAUAUUCCUACCAUGCGAACAUCAUUUCCGUCAACAUCUAAAACUUUAUGAAGAUCUCGUACACGAGCCUGUAUUCCGACUUGGUAUUUUGCCACAUUGAUAUGGGUAUCAUUUAAUACUUGUAAGGAAAUCUCGUUGACAAUGUUCUGAAUAAAUUCAGUUUCACGGCUGCCAAUUUCAAGCACAAACAACAAUUAAAUCAAAUGGGAUUUUUCUAUAUAUGUUAUAAAGAAGUGCUCGAUACUAAUGUCAAUUAUGUCAUGAAUCUAUAUAUAUAAAGCAAAAAAUAGAGAAUAAUGAAACAUUCAAAAUACCAUAAAAUGUCAUUGGUUAAUGUAAACAUUUUAACAGAAAUAUAUUGAAAAUGUCUAUUACUCUAGAGAUUUCUACCAAAUGUCCAUCACAUUUUAACAGUUAAAAUAACAGAUUCUGCAACCCUGGGAGAAAUAAAUUGAAAUUAAAGCAGAGCCUCAGAAAAGAAAAAAAUAAUAACGGAUCCUAAAUGUAUAUUAAAGACAGAAAUAUACCGCAUCAGAAAAGGAAAAAAAUAUAAAUAAUAAUAAAUAAAUAAAUAAAACAUACCCCUCCAAGUAAUGCGACCCAGACAAAUUUGCAGCUUCUGUAAGGGUUUCCUUCCAUCUCAGAACCUUCUUCAUAUUGUCCUCGAAUUUACUUUCAUCAUGGUUAGUAAGUUUCUGUUCUUUGAAUUUGCGUUCAUGGUUAUUCAGUGCCUCGCCAUAACUACCUCUUUGGUUCCUUACAUCUGAGGGAUCCACUUUGUAGAAAACUGGCCAAACCAUCUGUUGCUUUGAUUUUCUACACUGAAUGAUAUGAACAAGUUCAUCCAAGCACCACUUCGAGGAUGCAUAUUUUUCAGAGAAUACGAUGAUGGAACACCUCGAUCCUUCAAUUGCAUCAAGAAGUGCUUGUGAUAUUUCCUCUCCUCUUGGGAGCUCAUCAUCUAUGAAGGUUCUGAUGCCCCUCUGGACCAAAUUUUUGUGCAGAUGGUCUGUGAAAUUGUAGCGUGUGUCCUCACCUCUAAAGCUGAGAAACACAUCGUGGGUCCAUGAAUUGGUGAAAGAAGAAGAAGAAGAAGAAGGGGAAGGAGCUCCUAAUAAUUGAGUGGUGUCUAGAUCCAUAUUGUUGAAAAUUGAACAGGCUGAAAGGGUUGGAAAUUAUAGUGAUUUAUUGUCCGAGAGUCUCUGGUUGGCAAUGUCAGUGGGGAGACGAAUCAUGUGAGUGAAAAGUCUUCGUCUUUCUCGGCCCCAAGAGCCCCUACCUCUGCUGGGUCUCUCUAGACCCGAGGGACAGUUUUAAAUUUUUUUAAUUUUUAAUUUUAUAUAAUUAUUUAAUCAAUAAAAUAAAACUAGUUUGUUACUCUUUCAAAAGGUUUCCGUGAAUGGCGGGAAGAAGAACCACCUUCAUUAGUGGUUGAAUCCAUUUGAUUGCAGAAAAGGAUGUUGGGAAAGGCUACUUUCCUUUGUUAUAUAUUAGGUGUUUACUCAGUGCUCCGCCAUUUGCUUGUAUUAAAAAUAAAAUUAGGCCAUCCCAUCUGCGAAGUAGUUUCCUCUGUCAUUUUCAGAGUGGAUGAGAAGUCAAAAGGUGAAUAUUAUAAAACAGAAGACUGCAUUUUUGUUGCAACGUACGGUUGUUUCGCAAUUCAGAAGUAACGUAGAAGUUCGGCGUGUAGGAAAAAAAGACAAAAUGCGUAGAUGAUGAAGAUGCAUAAAAUAACCUCCUCUAAAUAUUUUGUUAGAAGACAAAACUUUGUUUCUUUUCCUUUUUUCUUAUUAUAUGACCUAAUAUUUGAAAAAUAAUAUUGAUUCCUUUAUCGACAAAAUGGCCUAAUUAUUUACAGAAUUUAAAUAAAUUUUUAUAAUAAAAAUUGAUUUUAAUCCCCACUUGAUACACGCACAUAGGACACGCUUAGGAUAUUCAUUAGGAAAUAAAAUCAAUAGGAUCCAAAAUUUGGUGUUUAUAGGAUAUAGGAUGAUAAGCUAAAUUCAAUAGUCUCAAUACGAACUCAAUAUCACUCAAACUCACUAUGCAACACAUUUCAUUCAAUUCUUUUGUGCCAAAAUAAUUGACUACUCGAACAUCUUCUAAAAGUUUCAUUACGUCCAUGGAGUAUAACUCAGUUGAUUGAGCUCUUUCACCUCCACUUAUGUGGGCAAAAGUUCGAGACACCUAGGCACCCAAUGAAUAUUUGUGUAAACCACUCUCCCCCAAUCACUUGUGCUAUAAAAAUAUAUAAAAAAAUAAUUACAAAUUCCCAUGUUUUUCUUAUCAUUUCCAUUGUUUUUUUAAUCUAGUUUUUAUCAAUAUCAAUAAUUUUUCACAGAUAUUUCCAAAUUUUUAGACCACUAAUAUUUUUGAAACUCUAAAUGCCUGUUUGGCAUUGUUUAUUUGGAGCAAAAAUCACUUUCUUAAAAAGUUUUCUUCCACCUAGCUGUUUGGUAAAUGAAAAAAUAAUCUGAUUAUAUGAAUAAUUGCUGUCAGCCACAGUGAUUUGAGGAAGCUGGUCAGGGGGUGAUUUUAUUUCCGCUUAUGCGGAAAGAGGGUGGGGAACCGGUGCUCUUUAAUGAAUGUUUUAAAAAUGCCCAGAUUAUUCUCAUUGGCUUUUGAAAAUGACAUCCACUAUCGUCUUCAUUUGAUCAUGUAUUCUUGAAUCGCUGCUUCCUCUCCUCUCACGUUACAUAGUGAGUUCAGUUCUUCUUCUUCUUCUCUUCACACCUUUCUUCUUUAAUUUGUCUCCAAGAUUCCUACAACCCCAGAUCUAAAGUUUGUUUCUUAUCUUUUUUCAUUCUGGAUUUGGGGCAGUUAGUCCUUUCUGAUGGUCCAAUCCUGAUAGUCACGUUUCUAGUUCUCAACAAAGAACAAAUCUUAAUGGUCCUUCAAAUCAACGGAUUGGAUCCAGUAUCAAUUUCAUCAUUUUGGGUUUUCAGUGCAACAGAGUGAUAAAAGGUUUUCAGUGCAACAGAGUGAACAAAUCUUAUUGUUUUCUUGUGUUUGAUGGGCUGCAAUGAAUUUGUAGGUUGUAUCCCCUGUGUUCACUCUCUUUCUGGGUUUCUCUUGUUCUAGUCCUCAUUUGCAACUUUAUCCAAAUUAUUUUUUUAUAAAUUCUCUUGUUCUAGAACACUUUUAUUUUUAAUACUCAUUCUAAACUGGUUUCCUUCAAUCCUUUUUUCCGUUUUCAAAAUCAUUGGGUUUUCAAUAAUGAAAUGCUGUAUUAAUUGACGACAAACAAAACAAAACAAAACAAUGUAGGAUCAGCCCACAUAACGCAUCUGGAAGAAAGAGGCGAAGGGUGGUCAUAAUUUCUAAAUUUACUUCACAAUAAGGAAAGGAAUGCAUAUAUGCAAGUAUGACUGUAUGAGUAGCAACGUAUAUACUCGAUGGGAAUUGGCAUUUGGUUGUUGGCCAUGGAGUUAAAUGGUGUGAACAAAAAUUACUAAUGAAGAGGCAAGAGGGCACUGAAUACUGCAAUCGUGAUAGGAAGAUUUUGGGUUGUUAUUAUAUUCAUUUGUGAAUUACAAUAGUUGAGUUUUCAAUUGAUCAUAAUAUUCAGGUUUUAGGUAUUGAAAUUAAAAAUAAUAACCUCAUGCCCUUUCUAGUCACUAUACACAGUCCAAACACUUUUACACAAAAAUUUACCAAACAUUCGUAAACUUAAUAUUGUUUCAACAUCACUUUUAACAAAAAGUUUACCAAACGCCAAAUUGAUUUAUUUCACAGCUGAUUUCUCAUAUAGCAAAUUUAACCAUGAUUAUUUUCACAGCACAGCAAUGCCAAACUGACUACCUUACUUCUUACCCAAAAAAAUUGUCCUUACUUAUUGUAAAAUUAAUGAGACAAUAACUAUUUAUAACAAAAACCAUGAUUGCACUCAUAAUAUGCAUCAAUGUACAUCACAGAUGCAAAGUAGUUUCAUGUCAUCUUCAUAGUGGAUGUGAAGUCAAAGGGAAUAAGAAAAUGGUCAAAAGGAAACAACAACCAACCACAAAAGAAAAAGAAAAAAGAAGCAUCACUACACUUUCGUUGCAACAUGGUUAUUUAACAAGUAGUUGGGGGUGUGGAAAAAAAGACAAAAGGUCGAUUGAUGAUGAAGAUGACUAAAAUAGAUCAGGAUUGUCAAAAAUAACAUCUAUAAUUGUUAGAACACAAAAUUUUGUUAUUGGCGAGUCAGUUAAUUCAUAAUGUGUCAUGCUAUUAGAUAGAAAGGUAUUCGUAUAAUGUAUGUGAGUUUAGUAAAUUAUCGCCCCUCUCAAUAAGGGCUUGCAAGUAAUGAGACACAUAACCUAAUUAAAAGACAGGAUUGUAAUUAAACCGAUAUUUUGUUGAUUAAGAAUGAAUGCAAUUUUCAAAAAUAAUAUCAUGAACCCAUUCAAAUUGAGUGAGAGGGACUUCGUCGAUCUUUUCUUCUAGCAGAUCAAACUUGUUCAGUAUCAAAAUGAAGUCUUUAUAUGGUCAAUGACUGGAUAGUGAGCGUAUGGUGGAAUGUCUAGUUUUGGGGUGGGUGGUUUCAAUUGGGUUGCCACCAAAUAUAUACUACUAGAUAGUAACUUUUGAAUUAAUGAUGCCAAGGGCUUAAAUAAGAUGGAGUAUUUAAUCAAACUUCUUGUUUCAUGAUGCUAUAGUCAAUUGUUGCAUGACUAAUACCUUUUUUUUUUUUUUUUUUUUUUUAAUUUUAUGUUUUUUCGAAAAGGCAGAUUUCAUUCCAUUAGAAAGGAGGAAUAAUGGGCAUGUAAUACAUAGCCUCGUUAAAACCUUCCCGGAGAAACCACACGUGAAAAAUCCCGGAGUAAGAAAGAGUACCACAAAUGCUGAUGAAGUACACAACAAGAAAAAUUACAUUGCAUCACUAUUCCUCCUUUUUAGUUCAAGAGGUAUCUUUUUUUUUCUUUUUUUUUGGUGGUUUUCUUUGUGCAUGCUCUUGGGAUUUAUAGUACUUUACUCUGUUGUGAUCAAUGUUAUGUCUAGAGUACCCAAUGUUAUAUAACUCCCCCAUUGUAAUUUCUAUAACUCAUAACUCGCAAGAAAGAAUUCAACCUCCCCGUAGUUUAGAAAAUAACUAUUUAAUUAAAGAUUACAAUCUGGUUUGGUUAAGUUAACUGACUAUAUAUAUAUAUAGUAGCAACGGUGCCCACGCGAUGCUACAGGUUUUAAAACCCUGUGAAAUGUAUACAAAGUCGUGAAAAUAUGUAGGAAAUAUGGUACUAUUUAUAUAGACAUGGAGAUCUAAAUAGUGGCAUCUUUGUUUUGCAAGUUUAAUACUCCCAAAGAAAAAAUUAGCCAAACUACAGACGCAAAAAUGAAUCUUAAUCAAUUCCAAAUAAUAGAGGCAGUGUUCAAACUUAGAAAGAUAGAAGAACUAAAAUUCAGAUAAUGGAGGUAAUGUUCAAACUUUGAACAUCUCUAACAUGACAUCACCAAAUCAGUAAAUAUUACACAAAAUCAGUAUAAAAACACAUGAAGACAAAAAAAAAAAUAAAAAAAGCAAAUAUUAACAACAAUAGAUCAUUACACAAUUUAGGGUGACCCUAACAACAAUUGAGGAAUUGAUUGCUUUUGUUAGAGACCAAAGCAAGUGUUUCUAAAACAGGGAAUAAGAGCAUAAAAGUUUUUGAAUGUUGGAUGCCCAUUUUUUACUUUUCCUUCCUCUUCCUCUAUUUCCCGAGAAAGCAAAUAAACAGAAUCAGCCAAAUAUCACCACAAAUCAAAUGUAUGGUAAUUAAUUAAAUGCCAAAGUAAGAAGUGCCAAAGAAUCAUUGAGCAUAAAAUAAAAAAAAACCAAAAAUCUGAGUCACCACUUGUAGAAGAUUAGCCCUUUGCUGGCAGCUCCUUUCACUUACAAACUCCUUGGUGUUCCAGUGCCACAACAACUUCAGUACUUGCUGCACAAUCCAAGCUCCUCAGUACUCGAUGCACAAUCCAAGCCCUGCAAGCUACAUUGGUAUUUGUUAUGGGUUGCCAUAAAAGGGAAUUUUCAUUUUUAAAGGUCCGUAUGUACGAAUCUAUAAAUGAGUUGCAAAACUUCCACAAAUAUCAAAUCAAACCACAGAUUAGUGGCAGCAUGUAUGUACCAAAUUGUGGCACAUCCCAUUUCAGCUCAUAAAUCGUCAAAUAAAAAAUCUAAAAUACGCAUUCAUAUCAUACAAGUUGGAAGGAUGAACCAAUAUUUUGCAAAAGCACAAAACUUUAUUAACAUCCCAACAAACCCAAAGGAUAAAAACAGAUAAUCAAAUCAAUCAUGAAAUACAGAAUUACAGACAGAAUACGCACAUAUAAGGAUGAAAUGCAACAAUUAAGACCACUCGCGCCACCCAUUUCUCUGUAAUUGAUCUUUCGCUUUUUCAUUGUCAAUCCAACAUACUUUUAAAUCUUUACCAAUCAAAUUUUACGUCUCCAAUUCAACCGGGCAUUUCGAGGGGAUGCCUCUGACGCAGCCUCCUUCACAUCUGCCACCAAAGCCAAACAUCAAACCUCAAUUAAUUCACAAACCCAGAAACCAACCCAACCCAAAUUACAUAGGGCAGAUAGAUAAAGAAGCAGGAUGAAGCAAAAUGAUAAUAAUUGGUCAAACAGAACCCAACAUGCACAAAAGCUUCAAAUGUCCAAAGCUCCAAAAACAAAACAUAAUAAUAAUAACCCGAAUUGGGCAAACCAAGUUCUACUCAGUAGUGGGUGGCUCUUGUGGGGAAGAAGAUGAAGCUUCAUCUGCAUAAGAGACCAAUGUACACAGUGGGCUUGCGUUUCACGUCCCAUGGCUGCGUUUUGCGAGGCCGAGUCUUCCUGUGAUGCGCAGUGGCCUUCUUCUGUGGCCUCGACGAACACUCAAUCAUCAACCCAGUACCUCCACCAACUGAGCCGCGCAAUGGGGAUGUCUUUGGGACCCCAAACGACUCGAUCGCAGAUGGGUUCUUCACGGCCACACCCAUAGCCACCAAUUGAGGCCCCAACACAGCUUCAGUUCUCACAGUGAGAAAAAGACGAUGGAAUUGGGUUUUCCUUCUCUCAGCGACUCCGACGAAGAGGAGAGAAUAGCGCUGGAGGGCAAAACGGCUAAUUCACUGCUCAUAAGUCAACUCAAGGAAGCAGACCAUCACUUAAGCGGGGGCAAAACCGUCACUUCGCUAUUCCCAAGCUACAGUCCAGGAACAAUGACUCUGGGAUCAGUUUUAGUAUAUAUAUAAUUUAUAAAUAAAUAAAAAGAACUUGUGUAUUUUGUUUCUUUGUUUGUUAAAAAAUAAUGGGAGAUAUUAUUGGCACCCCAUUAUUUGCUCUUUGCACCCCAUAUUAAUUUUAAACAUGAAUAAUUUAUUUAACCUUCGUACAUAAUUACCGUUAAGGACAAAAAGCAUUUAUAAUAAAAAUUAAAUUUGCUCACUACACCCCAUGUAUGUUCCUGCAACUCUAGUUAGAAUUUUUUUCUUAAACCAUCAUGUUCCUACAAUCCUAAUGAGCUUUAUACGCUUAUAUUGGUGAAAAAUAUAUUGUAUUUAUUCAUGAAGGGUGAGAUUGAAGUUAGAGAGGCUUCGAAUGAGUUAUGAGUUUAUUUUUUGGCCUUUUUCAAGCUUGGGAUUUCUUGAUGGUUCGCUAGUUGCGUUUAGCAAACCAGUACCGAACGCGAUAGGUAAAUUCGGUGGGAUGCCACCGAAACAUUGCACCUAUUUUGGUUGCGUUUGACUGGCCGUUAACUUCAGAUGCAGUGGAGAUCCACCAUAAUAUAAACGGUGUUCGGUGGUUUAUUACAGAAUUUUUACCUACAAUUCAGUGGCAACGAACCGAAAUAUAUUUAUUUUUUCAGUAACUUAUUGUCGACCACAAAUUUAAUAUAAGCUAUUUUGACCUUACUCCCAUUGAAGGAACAAAAACAAGAUGACGCCCUUAAAAUAGAUGACACAUCAUCAAAUGUGAUGGUCAUCUCACUAAAAGGCAUGUGAAAGAUGUUCGUUUCAAGAUGCCAUCUCUCAAUAAAGGUAGAUAUAACAAUCUUAUCUGCAUUCCGAUAAGAACACUAAAUAAGUUGCUCCAAUCCAUACCUCUAAAUGUACCAUUUGAAUAUACCAUUAUUUGGAUUAGCCCUCCAAUUUCACUAAUGAAGGAUAGAUGUCUUCGACAUGCACCUAAGGUGCUCACAUUCCUAGUAAAAAACAAUAUUAAGUACAAACUCAAUAACGAAUUCAGUAGAUGAUCACUGAAACAAGAAACGAAUUCACGGAAACAAAAAAUGAAUUCAGUUGACUACUACUGAAAAACAUAAACAUAUUCAAUAGACUGUCACUAAAAAACUGAAACAGAUUAUGUGAACUACUAUUGAAAAACGUAAACACAUUCGGUGGGUAGCUACUGAAAAUAGAAAACAAAUUCGAUGGACUACCGUUGAACAAGGUAACGAUUUUAGUGGGGUUUACACAGGUAAGUUAGGGAAUGGGGUUCAUGAGGGCAAUCUAGGAAGAAAAAUGAGGUGUAUUGAGUAAUUUUAAAAUUUCCUAAAAUUCAGUGGGGUGUAAGGAGAAUAUGAGGUGGAAAGAGCAAAUGUUAGAGUGCCAAUAAAAUCAUCCAAAAAUAAUAUAUGGUUUAAUGGGUUGUCCUGUUAAGGGAAAGCUUGGAGGCAAUAAUUUAAACUUUUGGAAAAACAAUAAUCCCAAAUGUAAGAACAAUUCAUCCACUAAUAGCUUGCAAAAUUAUAAUUUAAAUGGAAAAACAAAAAACAAAUGCACUAGUAAUAAGUUAAUGUAUCUACUAAACUUAAUUACAUGGAGGCAAUCUAAUGGAUCACUAGUGAUUUUUUAGUCAAAACAACCUAGUUAUAUAUAAUUACUGAAAAAAAUAAUCUCAUUUUUCACGGCCCAAGAACGGGCAAGGGUCCUUCAAUAAGUUAAACAUGUUUACAAGGUGUCACCAAAGCACAAAACGGUCCAUAAGCAAACGAACUGUGGCCUCUGAAAGACUAGAGGAAUCCAAGUCCCUCUGAAUCUGAACCAUUCUGCUGCUCUCUUUUCUUGCUUCUUUCAACACUUGCUGUUGUUCUUCAACCUCAUCAUC